CCUACGGGCGGCAGCAGUGGGGAAUAUUGCGCAAUGGGGGCAACCCUGACGCAGCCAUGCCGCGUGAAUGAAGAAGGCCUUCGGGUUGUAAAGUUCUUUCGGUAUUGAGGAAGGUUGAUGUGUUAAUAGUACAUCAAAUUGACGUUAAAUACAGAAGAAGCACCGGCUAACUCCGUGCCAGCAGCCGCGGUAAUACGGAGGGUGCGAGCGUUAAUCGGAAUAACUGGGCGUAAAGGGCACGCAGGCGGUUAUUUAAGUGAGGGGUGAAAGCCCCGGGCUUAACCUGGGAAUUGCAUUUCAGACUGGGUAACUAGAGUACUUUAGGGAGGGGUAGAAUUCCACGUGUAGCGGUGAAAUGCGUAGAGAUGUGGAGGAAUACCGAAGGCGAAGGCAGCCCCUUGGGAAUGUACUGACGCUCAUGUGCGAAAGCGUGGGGAGCAAACAGGAUUAGAUACCCUUGUAGUC
RNAcentral lists this ribosomal RNA (465 nucleotides) under uncultured Haemophilus sp. RNAcentral describes it as "bacterial SSU rRNA". It matches the Rfam family "Bacterial small subunit ribosomal RNA", at positions 338 to 795 of the family's 1533-position model. Lineage: Bacteria; Pseudomonadati; Pseudomonadota; Gammaproteobacteria; Pasteurellales; Pasteurellaceae. The record is from RNAcentral.